MicroRNA precursor from Brassica oleracea var. oleracea, 126 nucleotides. It matches the Rfam family "MIR9563 microRNA precursor family". The record is from Rfam. NCBI's taxonomy places the organism in Eukaryota, Viridiplantae, Streptophyta, Magnoliopsida, Brassicales, Brassicaceae.
AGAAUAUAAGAAAUCGUCUCUUAACUUUUAACUAAAAAAAACUAAGAACCGGCUUUUAAAUAUCUUAUUUAAGAGCCGGUUCUUAGCUUUUUUAGUUAAAAGUUAAGAAAUGUUUUAUUAUAUUCC